AGACCUUACUUCUACAUGAUAUGUACACAUUAGAGGUUUGCUCAUUCUCUUUCUUCUUCUUUGCUUUCUUAUCCUUCCUCUUUCUCUUCUUACAGAGAUGUAUAUCAUGAUCCAUCUUAUUCACCAUCACAUUCACUUUUUUACCCUUGCCUCUAUUUUUGAGGCCUGGUGUAAAAGUUUGGUAUCUCAAUAUUAAAAUCCUCAAUAAUAGGCAGGGGUAGAGGUUGCAUAAUCGAGAAUUGCUUCUUGAAAAUAUCCUUCACUAUAUUUUUCAAUGUUGCUAGCUCAUUGUGACUGAGCUCAAAGAAGGAGCCUGGACACUCUCCAACUUUCCUAUUA
This 339-nucleotide long non-coding RNA is filed under the name Capsicum annuum. Its description in RNAcentral is "long non-coding RNA (CANN_LNC015852)". Lineage: Eukaryota; Viridiplantae; Streptophyta; Magnoliopsida; Solanales; Solanaceae. The record is from RNAcentral.